This 465-nucleotide ribosomal RNA is filed under the name uncultured bacterium. Its description in RNAcentral is "partial 16S ribosomal RNA". It matches the Rfam family "Bacterial small subunit ribosomal RNA", at positions 28 to 507 of the family's 1533-position model. The record is from RNAcentral.
GACGAACGCUGGCGGCGUGCUUAACACAUGCAAGUCGAACGGAAAGGCCCCAGCUUGCUGGGGUACUCGAGUGGCGAACGGGUGAGUAACACGUGGGUGAUCUGCCCUGCACUCUGGGAUAAGCCUGGGAAACUGGGUCUAAUACCGGAUAGGACCGUGCUUUAGUGUGUGCGGUGGAAAGUUUUUCGGUGCAGGAUGAGCCCGCGGCCUAUCAGCUUGUUGGUGGGGUAAUGGCCUACCAAGGCGGCGACGGGUAGCCGGCCUGAGAGGGUGUACGGCCACAUUGGGGCUGAGACACGGCCCAGACUCCUACGGGAGGCAGCAGUGGGGAAUAUUGCACAAUGGGCGCAAGCCUGAUGCAGCGACGCCGCGUGGGGGAUGACGGCCUUCGGGUUGUAAACCCCUUUCGGCAGGGACGAAGCUUUUGUGACGGUACCUGCAUAAGAAGCACCGGCUAACUACGUG